Molecule: long non-coding RNA, 1180 nt
Filed under: Gouania willdenowi (blunt-snouted clingfish)
Lineage: Eukaryota; Metazoa; Chordata; Actinopteri; Blenniiformes; Gobiesocidae
Description: lncRNA (ENSGWIG00000013914.1)
Source: RNAcentral
GAAGAGGAGGACUGCAGAGACUCAAAAGAUCUGGUUUGAGGUGAAAUACUUCACUGAUUGAAGAAGUGUGUGACUGGAAGGGAUCCCAGAGCAGAAAGAGGGCCAUUAUGAGACCAAAGCACGGCUGGGCCUUGGUGCACGUGUCCAUCCUGGCUGGACUCCUUCUCACCUGUAACACUGAAGCUACAGAUUCAGAAGAUUCAAGCUGCUCUCAGAGGAUUACUGUACGCCGCCACACUGUAUAUAAAGCUACAGUUGGACAAACGCUGAAGAUCAAUUGCACAGUUUUCUUCUGUGAUGAUACGCCACCGACAGUAUCCUGGGAAAAAAACUCAUUCCUCAUCCCAGUCAACAAAACCAGUCACAUCAACACUGAAUGGUCUUUGAUUAACAAACAGGAAGGAGUUUCACUUCUGAGCUUUAAAAAAAUUCACCUCAGUGAUUCUGGUCGAUAUAACUGUCAAAUGAAGGGCAGCGUGAGUCACGGCAUUACUCUCAACGUCUAUGGACGAUCCAAAAAGGAGAACAAAACUGAAAACCAGUACAUCUGCAUGGAAGAGCGAACCUUCACACACCGCACCCCAAAAGGAAGCCCUUCUGUGACGCCGUCUACCCAGAAAAAGACAACUUUAAUGCCACCAAAGCGUGAGAUUGUAUCAACGCAUAAAGCUCAGAUGAGAGAGGAAAAUAUGACGCAAAAAGAAGAGGAAGGUGCUUCGAUUGUGUACGCCGCAAUCAACCAUCAGCUUCCAUCUACUGCGGCUGGUCCUAGGAGACAAACUCCGCAAGAAGAACCAACCUUGUAUGCAGCGUUACGUGUGGCAUGAGAACCAACUGGACUGAUAUACACCAAAUUGUACAUUAUUACCUCAUGUUUUUGGUAAAACUAAAGAAAUACCUGAUGAUAAACAUUCUUUCCUUUGUAAAAGUAGCUACUUGCAUACUCCACAGUAAGAAAAGUAGCUAUUGGGUGUUCAAGAAGCCGCUAGAUGGUGCUAGCUAUUAGUUUGUGAUGGUGUAGGUGUGGGUUUUAAAGAAAACAACAGCUUUAGUAGUGGUUGGUUACAGUGGACUGGACAGGUCGCGCACGUACAAGUAACUCUAGGCUACACCAAAAAAAGUCACUAGACGUGUUGCUCGUCACUAUUUCGAGAGAAAUAAAAAGUCGCAAAGGAGAUCA